GCCAGAUUUCAUUGUUCACUACUACAUAACCCAUCUUCAGUACAAGAUCUAAACUACAUAAACCCAUAUCAUUACAGGAGGAACAUAGAGCUACGAAGGCGAAGGAAGAGCCCCUCCCCUUGGACGCCCUUUCAACGGGAGCCGGAAGAAGCGGGGAUCCUGCAGCGCCUGCCUCUUCCCCUUCGGCCCAAGAAAGGCGCCUGGAGGAGAGAAGCGGGGCUUUUGGGCCGCCUCCUGGAUCGGGACCUGGACGGAGGAAGGGGUGAGACUCAGCUGAUUGCUCUUUGCUGUUUUUGGACCCAAAAACCAAUAACCAAAUCCCAGAUCCCUCCAACAUUUGCAAGGAAGGGGUGAGACUGAGCUGAGUUGUCUUUGCUGAUUUGGGGCCGACAAACAAAAAGCCAAAUCCAAGAUCCCUCCAGGAUUUGCAAGGUAAGUGAGAUUUCAAGAGGUGGCUUAAGUAGCCUUGCCACACACACACUCCUCUCAAUUUCCCCGACCCAGCAGGGAUUUGAAUCCAGAUCUCCUGGUUUCCAGACUGGUACUCCAUUCACAGCACCACACUUCUUCUUUGAACAUGUGCAGAGUGUUCCUAUUUGAUGGUAUGGUUUUCUUUGCAUCUUAUUUAAGUGUUAUUUUUUAAGAUUUCAAUCCUGCUCACCCCAACUUCAGACUCC
RNAcentral lists this long non-coding RNA (677 nucleotides) under Pogona vitticeps (central bearded dragon). RNAcentral's name for it is "lncRNA (ENSPVIG00000008683.1)". The record is from RNAcentral. Lineage: Eukaryota; Metazoa; Chordata; Lepidosauria; Squamata; Agamidae.